GGCUAGCCAAAUAUAGAUGACUCGUUAAUUUUAAUAUAGUAAAAUGGCUUCUUCACUGUUUAGUUAUGAAACUCUAGUACACGCUCUAGCCGGGGCUACGGGCAGUGUGGUGGGCAUGACAGCAUUUUACCCUUUGGAUACUAUAAGAACAAGAAUUCAAGUUGAAGAUUCAAAGAAACUCCAAGGCUCAUCAUGGGAGCUGCUCUUGAGACUAGCAAAUGAAGAAGGUAUAGAGUCACUCUAUCGUGGCUUAACACCCGUGCUGCAGUCACUCUCAGUAUCAAACUUUGUUUAUUUCUAUUCAUUCCACUCUCUACGUAAAGUUCUCUCUACAAAACCAUCUGCAUUGCAAGAUCUCAUGUUUGGUAUAAUUGCUGGCAGCAUCAAUGUGCUCAUCACUUCUCCACUCUGGGUGGUUAAUACUAGAAUGAAGAUGCAAACAAACACAUACACAAACUUGUUCCAAGGACUGUAUCAACUUUAUAGAAAGGAAGGAGCAAAGGGCCUGUGGUCGGGCACAAUUCCUUCUCUUCUUCUUGUCACAAACCCAGCCAUACAAUUCAUGGUAUAUGAAUCUUUGAAGAGAAACAUGACCUCUAAAGGCCAGUUUGAUACGUACACAGCAUUCCUAGCAGGUGCUGUCGCUAAAGCGAUUGCUACAACUGUGACAUAUCCUAUCCAGUUAGUGCAAUCCAGACUUCGUGCUGGUACAGGUCUGAAGCCUCUUGUUAAGGACGUAAAGGACAAACCAUCUACUUUGUUCAGGGGUCUGGAAGCCAAGCUUCUCCAGACUGUAAUGACGGCAGCUCUCAUGUUUUUGAUCUAUGAAAAACUUGUCCGUUUGGUAUUGACUAUUAUGAGAGUAAGAAUGACCAAACGAUAAUCAUAAUGACGUGUAUGUGUUUUAAAAUGUAUAAUAAUGAGAAUAAUUUUAAUAUUCAUAAUGCCAGACUAUUUUUAUCAGCCUGCAAUGACAGCCAAGUUUUAUUUAAGUUAUCUCUAUACUCACUUGCAUUUUGUCUUAUGAGUCUAUACUACCUCAAAUGGUUGAUUCUGCAUAACAGUGAAAGUGUUGAAUCAAAUACAUUGGAAAAAAUUAUAUGGUAAAAUUGAGGAUAUACAAUGAUUACUAUAUGUGAAAACAUGAUUCCUAAAAAUGUUCACGAAAGAAAAAAUCACAAACGUACCUCGUAAUUUUAGAAGAAAACUGAUGAUUUUUUUUAAUAUCAAGUAAACAAAAUAGAACACUUAUACUAUAUGAUAUACAUAUUUCAAAUGGCUUUAAUUUCAUUUGUAAAAAAAUAAAGCCACUGUCCCUGCCACUCGACCUAAGCAAAAUGAACUGUAUUAGUAGGGGAAAAAUUUGAAUUUAAACUGAGGUAGUAUUGACUCUUAGGGUAAGGUAUAGUAUAACGGGCCGUUGUCCGCAAUUCGACGUCCAUGCGCCUAUUUUGCAUGUAGUGCAGGUGCAGGGUCCUACUCGUGCCAACCAAGCUCCUCCAAAAACCUUGACACCCUUCUGGGAGCGACCUCGGCACUCCAAAGGCCUCUUAAGAAGCUGGAUGCUGCAAGUGAUGGUGUAACUCAGCUAUUAACAAAUCAGCAAGCGCGAGUGGCGCAGCUCGCGGUGCAGCAGGGCUGUACGGCUGGAUAGAACAAAGUGCGCUGCGGAGAGCUUCGCAGCAUGCCGACCCUGCUUCUACGACGCGCCCGCCGCUUAGCAGGGCACGAAUACACCCUGCUCCGUCUACUUCCUGUGAAAUAGUUUAGCAGCAUCAGCAUUAGCGCAAACAGAUAAAAUUAGAUAAACUUUUGUCUACCGUCAUCCCAAUGUAACAGUAAGCUCAGUACCCUCGAAUCUGUACAAAUGACGUUAUUUUUUAGAGUAAACUGACAGCUUGAGAGAAGACAUACUUUUUGUCUUCGUGCUCAUGCUAAGUCUACAGAAUAUAUCCCAACAAGCAGACGCGAAAAACCAGUGAGCAUAAAUAAUACUAGAGACGCAAUGUCCUACAAACAGUUGUCUAAAAUGUGGGACCACUUUGCAAAUUUAAAGACUAGCUUUGAAACUGAUUGAAAUUUCAAAGAAAAAUAUAUUUGUCUCAUUUUUUCGAAUGUCAAACUUAUUAUGUCAAAAUGAAAUAGUAGUAGUGCAUUAAGAGAUACGACCAGUGUUACCGGUUUAGAAAUGAUUUUCCCUAAUUUCUUGUAGCCUCACUGGUGGAAAGAGACACGAUGGAGAUAGAUAGUAAUCAUCUUUCUAAACUAUGGAACUCUUUGCUUUUCUAGUAUUUUUUUAUUUAUUGGAUAAAGAUGAUAAAAAGACUGUCUUCCGACAAAGUUUCUGUUUCUAUUUAAUGAAAACAAAAAUGUAUAAAGGGGUAGGUAUUACAAAUUACUUGAUACAUAAACAUUUAACUAUAGUUUAUUACAAAUUAUUAAACGCCACUGUGCAUCAUUCAUUAGCCUGUUGUACAAUUGCCUUGUGUUUUGUUACUCAAAGUAUCUUUUUGUAAAAGUCGUAUAAUUUUUAUCCACUCCGUUGCGCGUUCGAUCUUUAAGUAUUCUGGGAAACAAACAAAAUGUCAUUUUUAAUAGUAUUACGUAUUAAUAGUACCUAUUACGGUUACACUUUACGUUAAAACGUUACAACGAAUAAACUUGGAUUAGAAUCACUUUUGACUACAAGGUCAAAAGUAACUUCAAAAGGGUUAACUCCCAAUAUUAUGGGCAAAUGAAAAUUGAUUUACUGGCAACAUUGAUGUUUAAAAUAAAUUUAUUUCAUUUUUAUUUUUAUUGACGACAAUCUAAACAAACAAAAGCAAAACUUACCUGUGGAAAGUAAACUCAGUAGUUUUAUGAUCAUUUUCGAACCGAGAAUUGCAAAUUUUAAUUACAUAUUUCACAAUUUUUGAUACUUUGUUGUCACGUCUCGGUGACUUUGCACUCACUCGAAUUCAAGAUGGCGACUGGUUUCACUGUUGUCAGUGGACAACAGUGCCAUGGGGCCGCGUUUGGAGGCGCAGAUUGCGCAUCUAUUGUUUACAAGUAUAAUAUCAUUGCGGAAACAGUUAAAAUUAAAUAUGAUAGCGUUAAGUUUCGCGUUUCCUUGUAAAGUUGGCUUUUUUCACUAGAGCCACAGAUAGCUACAGACAGCGGCGAUCGGUCGCUGUUAAUUUAUGCGGGUCAAUGACCGCUGUUGUCAUGUUAAAUGGAACAAAUAUAGUUUAAAUGAUUUAUAUUUGUCUGACGUGUCGUGUCGUGACUCGCUCUGACAUGAUGGUUAGCGUUCACAUCUACAUGUCGUGUUCUGACGCCUUCCGACGAUAUUUUGGAACAAUACCGUCGUGGCUCUCGGAGAGUUCGUACGUUCACAAUGUCUGACGGGUCACAACACAGCACUGGCGCGUGCACCCUUGUCUGAUCUGUAGUGCCGCAGCCGAUCCGCCGCCCCCCAACUAUUCCGUCCUGACGCAGGCCGGGAUCGCCUCUGACGCUACACAACACAAACCAUCACAAAACAUUGCGACACAGUAACGUAAAUCUCACCAUAUUAAAUGUAUGAAACCGAUACCGUUCUGACGCGUCACGACACAACACGUCAGACUAUAUUUGUCUGACGUGUCGUGUCGAAUCCGCCUUAUGUUUCUCUGUUAUAUUGUCAAGUUGUUGGAGGUUAAAUAUUUUUAAUAGAGCAAACCUUUUUAGUAUGUGCGUUCCUUUGUAAUUCAAAAUUAAAUAUCUUUUCAUGUUUCUAUGUCAUUGUUUUUUCGAUGACAUUAUACUUUUGACUGCAGUCGUCAAUAAAUGUGUUUUUACAUAAUUUACUUAGAUCUAUUUUAUUGUUUCUGAUCCGAAUCUCCCAGAUGUCUGUGAGGUAUCCAUAAACUCUGGAUUUCUCCACAUAAGUUUAUUGACUCUUUAUGCCACAGAGAUUUUUUAACUACAUUUGAGUAAAGUUACGCCAUG
Molecule: RNA transcript, 3969 nt
Organism: Hyposmocoma kahamanoa
Lineage: Eukaryota; Metazoa; Arthropoda; Insecta; Lepidoptera; Cosmopterigidae
Gene name: peroxisomal membrane protein PMP34-like
Exons: 4
Source: RefSeq, a predicted model, not a curated record